UGGGGAAUAUUGGACAAUGGGGGCAACCCUGAUCCAGCAAUGCCGCGUGUGUGAAGAAGGUCUUCGGAUUGUAAAGCACUUUCGACGGGGACGAUGAUGACGGUACCCGUAGAAGAAGCCCCGGCUAACUUCGUGCCAGCAGCCGCGGUAAUACGAAGGGGGCUAGCGUUGCUCGGAAUGACUGGGCGUAAAGGGCGUGUAGGCGGUUUACACAGUCAGAUGUGAAAUCCCCGGGCCUAACCUGGGAGCUGCAUUUGAUACGUGUAGACUAGAGUGUGAGAGAGGGUUGUGGAAUUCCCAGUGUAGAGGUGAAAUUCGUAGAUAUUGGGAAGAACACCGGUGGCGAAGGCGGCAACCUGGCUCAUGACUGACGCUGAGGCGCGAAAGCGUGGGGAGCAAACAGGAUUAGAUACCCUGGUAGUCCACGCUGUAAACGAUGUGUGCUAGAUGUUGGGUACU
RNAcentral lists this ribosomal RNA (459 nucleotides) under uncultured bacterium. RNAcentral's name for it is "partial 16S ribosomal RNA". It matches the Rfam family "Bacterial small subunit ribosomal RNA", at positions 355 to 831 of the family's 1533-position model. The record is from RNAcentral.